Molecule: ribosomal RNA, 78 nt
Filed under: Shouchella lonarensis
Lineage: Bacteria; Bacillati; Bacillota; Bacilli; Caryophanales; Bacillaceae
Description: Bacillus lonarensis 16S rRNA. Bacterial SSU
Rfam family: Bacterial small subunit ribosomal RNA
Source: RNAcentral
CUUUAAUGGAGAGUUUGAUCCUGGCUCAGGACGAACGCUGGCGGCGUGCCUAAUACAUGCAAGUCGAGCGCACAGAAG